This is a long non-coding RNA of Corvus hawaiiensis (hawaiian crow), 8733 nucleotides long. RefSeq lists it as uncharacterized. Lineage: Eukaryota; Metazoa; Chordata; Aves; Passeriformes; Corvidae. The record is from RefSeq and is a predicted model, not a curated record. The transcript has 4 exons.
UCAUUGUUGCGCUGUGUUCCAGCUAAGUGUCACAAGGAGAAACAGUCUGUUGCUUCUCUGAUGUCGUCAUCUGGUAAAAAGCACCCAACGAGUGAAUUCCCCCUUCCAGCUCAUUACAUUUUUGAGCCCUGCUCAGUAAUAACACCACACACAGCUUCAGAUUUAAGCAGCGAGAUCCCUACAGAUACAGACAGUUCUGCAGUUUUUGUGCACAUAGCAGAGUGUGGCAGCUCCCCAAGGGCCAGAUGCUUCCUGCAGAGUCUAAUAAUGCCCCAUCAAAUCGAGCAGGGUUACAUCAGAAGUAGAAUAUGAAUCGGGAUCUUCAUUUGUCAUUUAGUUCAUAUUUGGCGUGGCUAUAAAUAGGUCAUUUGGCUGCAAUUCCUAUUUCCCAAUUUUAUUUUUUUAACCUCAGCUUUGCUUUUUUAGACCACGAGCGUGUGAUGAGUCUAAAAAUGUCAGACUAGGAAUUGGAAAGAGCAGAUAACUGAGGCAUGGCUCAGUCAUGUCCCAGGCUGUUCACUGCCUACCCAUUGUGGGAAGAAAAGGGCCAAAUUAUCAGUCUUGGCACAGUCACUGAGGGUUGUUUUGAGUUCCUAGGAAUUUAACCCUAUGACUUUGACCUUUGACAAGAACACUUAAUUAUUUCCAGCUCUCCAACCAGGUCGUAAACUGGCCCUUUAGAAAAGUUUCCUGCUCUCCAUAAAAGAGAGCUCGCAGCUUCUGUCAUAGCAGAGUUUACAUUCUUUGAAUGGAGGGGCUUCUUGAAUCAGCAGGAUACUGUGGUUGGGUUAAAGAGUUCAGCAUUUGGUUUUGUUUUUAACAGGAGAUGAAUCCAUUCUCCAAAAUGCCAUCCUGUGUCCACACUUUGUAUCUCCCAAACUUUUCCUGUUGCUUAUUGUUUCCCCAGAUACUGGAAUUUGAGGUUGUUCCACUGUAAAACCAGAAUUUUGUCUACAGAAUCAGAAUAAAAACUAUUCCACCCUUUUCUUAUUUUCAGGAUAUAUAUAUGGAUAAUAAUCAAUUCUUUUUUAAUCCAAAUACCCAGCAGUGACUGCCUUGUGCUCCUGGGAGCCUUUGAGUUUUGGUAACAGCUUAUGUGUUCCCUCAGCUGACAGAUCGAGCUGCAUGUAAUGCGCUUUCUGUACAAGGUAAACACACAGACCUCGACAACCUGGAUGCAGCAGGGAGUAGAGGCUCUGCCUGGCAGCCUGGCGAGGCUCCUGCUUUCAGCAGCCCUCAGCUGAGCCAGUGGGUUUCGUGCUGACCUCCAUGCGCACGUCACUCCCAGUCAGGAGCUGCCGAAACCACCAAAGCCUCACUUAAAGGACAGUAAGGUUAAACAGAGAAUGUAAUUCUGCCUUCCCACUUAACAGCUUUACCAUAUAGCUCCUGCAAUCCUUAGACCUUUCAGCCAACAUCAUGAGGAAGCAUACUUUCCUUGGAAGACAGAUCUGUGAGAACAAGGGCCAAAAUGCUGAUGGGCAGAUGGAGCACAGUGAUGCCUGAGGCCAGCUGCAGGUGAUUUAGGUGGGAACGGGAGACCCAAACCUGUGUGGAUAUAAUCUAUCUUGUGGGGUUUCUUGUUUUGGGAAUGCAGUGGUGGUGCUGCAUUGUGGAGCUGCCCUGACUUUUCGUGGGUGCAGAGGGAUUAGUUCCUGCCCUGUGCUGCCCCCAUCCUCCUGUGGUCGUGCCAUAACUGUGCUCCCACCCAGAGCAGCUGGGGAGCCUGGUUUUGCUCUACCUCUGCAGCCACAGUCAGUGAUUACCAGGGAGGAAGGGUCCCUCCAGGAUAUGGAACAUAGCUCAGGGGGAAAGCAGGUCUCAACCCUUGUGACAGGCAAGCACCCAUCUACAGGGAUUUGCAUUAUCUGCUUAGGAGGCCAUCCAGCUCAGAUCCUGGGAUUGGAGACGGGGUUUUUUGGUUAGAAUUUUUUUCCAGAGCAAAUGCCUGCAGCUUUAUUAGGAAUUUGCUGAUUCUGUUCCUGACCUGUAAAAGCACUUGUCUGCCUAGAAGGUUUUCUCCUUUUCCUAACUAUCCUAAUUGGGCUAAUGAAAAAUGUUGCUUCUACCCAUAAGAUUUACCUCAGCUAGGAUGUACUCCAUCCCAUCCCCAGCAGAUAGCAAAGUGUGGUUCCCACUGCUGGUCUUGUAUUUUGAAGGACAGAGACAACAUGUGAGAGAUUCUCCAUCCCUGAUAAGCCUUGGAGAGCUAUAGCUGCAAGCAGUCUCAUACUGAGAUGUGUGCAUGCCUGCAUACGUGAGAGGAAAUACCUUAGAUUGCAAAGGCAGUCCUUCUAUUGCCAUUUCUUAGCUUUUAAGUCCUCAGCUUUGUAAGCCAAAUGAUGUCCUAUUAGCACGGACUUGCAUUUAGGUGUGCAAUAAAAUGCCUUCAAAUGUACAGAUUUAUUGACACAAUGAGUGCAUUUUUUUCUCCCUGAAAUGGAAGGGGUUAGAGGAACUGCAGAUUCAAAUGUAUUUCAUAGACCUGUGUUAUUCUGUUCUCUGUUUUAUUCUUUUUCAUCCUUGUAAUUUUUAUAUAGCUGAUAUGACCUUCUAUUUUUAAUGGGGCUUUCCUUUGCAACAUGCAGCUGAGAUGUAUAAAUGUUUUUAUCAGAAAUGAUUCCACGUGAUCCAUCAGGCCAUUCAGACUUAACCAGUACUUUGCCUUGUACUUUGAAUAACAACUUUUCACAUCAAUGUCAUUACAAAGGAUAUACAGCCUGAGGAUUCCUGUUAGAAAUUUUUAGGGAAAUCAUUCUGAAUAAGGAACACACUCAGACCUACUGCUCUUUUCAGCCAUUUUUUACAGACAAUCUACAAAUUCAGUGAGAGAAUGAGUUCGUGGACUUCAUUACAUGAAACUGUAGCACUGUUAAGUUGAAUCUAAACAAAAGAGGAGGAGGAAGUCAAAAUCCAGUUUGUCAUUGUCCUUGCUAAAAGAUAUGUACAAAAGCAGUGGUAGCAAAGGUUACCAUGGUGUUUCUUAUCAGCCCUUGCAGAGGGAGAUGAAGAAAAGAUAUUUCUGAUAAUACUUAAAGUUACUAUUUUUUAGAUCCAAUAUGUUCAUAACAUAAUAUCCAUUCUUCCGACUGCACAUGGGACAAAUCCCUAAGAGCCAAUCCAUUUGUUUUGCUCAUGGGGAGCUGCUGCUUUACACUUUGGAUUUCAUAGCAGCUUGACAAUAUCUUAGCUAUUAUCCUUUUAAAUUAACUUUACUGUGCUCAGGGAUUAUUUUGUUGUUGUUGCUGUUAGCUGGGGAUUUGGAGGACUUCUGUGGUCAGAAGCUGUGACAUAGGUCUAAGUACCUGCAUUGCUCCCCCUCCCCAGAGCCUGGGGGAGAGCAGCUGAACCUGCCCUGCCCUGCUGCUCUCCUGGGUGAGUAGUCAUGGAGGGCAACUGAGGCUGCAGGAGGUGUGGGGCUUGGAAAAGCAGAAGGAUCCCAUUUUCUUUACAGUAUGACAGAGAAAUGCAGCAGGCCAAGGUCCUAGGUAUGUCCUGGUGUGCUGCACCAAACACUGACCUCCUGUAGCUUGGCUCUAGAUUUUCAAAACAGUUUUCUGAGUGGCUCGGGGGGGUGGGGGGAUUUCAGCAACACCUCAAAGCAGUGUUGUGUGUUUAUCUCCUCCAAAACAGCCCUCAGCUUGUGCAGAGGAGAGGGGAGCCCUGUGAGAAACACGUGUAUCUUUAAACCCUCCAACAGGGGCCAGAUAUUCCAUUUGCUUAGUGUGUCAUUGGGCUGGGCAUGCCUGUACUUCUAAGCCCUGGAGGACAGGAAAAUGCUACUUCCCUGCCCUGGGUAGUUGCAGAACACAGUUUUUAAUGGUUUUCAGAUAUUUAUCAGAGCACUAUAAGGAACUUCCUGACUUUCCAGGGAAACAUUUAGUGCACCUUUUCUUAAACUGCCAGGUAAUGAUGAUGACCACAAUUUUCAAAGAAAACUCUUUGCUAGGCACUGAAGGAGGAGGUGGUUUCCAGAGGCUGGAAGCACCGCAAAUCUCCCCAUGAAGUUGUAGGUAACUAGUGCAGGGAGCAGCAGUGCCAAGCAGCCCAGCAGGGAGGCAGCUUUGUGUUCCGUCUGCAGGUGUUGUUGAGAACCCCAUUGCCCUGGGUUGGCCUAAAGAAAGAAUCACAGCAGAACCUUUGGAAAUUAGUGGAGUGGUAAGCUUCCUUGUCAGUCUAGCAGCAAGAUCCUCUCCUUGCUGUGUUCUAUGACAAAGACAGAGGAUCAACACUCUGGGCUGAGAAUGAUACAAAAGAAGCCCUUAAAAGUUCCGCAGUGCCUGGUUUCAGGCCCUUAGCAACGGCUUGCUUCAAGCUGUAAAAAAGGAGUUUAAACAUUCCCUAGUUAACCUCUUUUCUUUGUCCGGAGCCUUCUCAUGUCUCCAGCUGCUGUAUUCAUGUGCUUCCUCAGCUGGAAGGGAGCCAGGCACAGGGCAAGGGAGUUUGUAAGCUUAGAGAUUCUUUUUUACAACUUUUGGAGUGCAGAGUGAAAGCAUUAGAGAAAAGCAGCAGCAGCCCUUCCCUGGACUGUUUUGCCCCUGUUUUGUAUGGUCUUACCCCAAAAGCUGAUGAUUACUAUAUGGAUUGCCAGGCUGGUGUUUUUCCAUUCCUAGUGGAGGGAUGAAGUUCUGGCUGGCCUACUUUAUCACAACUAUCAAUAAAAGCAACAGAUGAAUUGGAAGUCCUUGAACUCUGAAUUGUCUAAGGUGUGACUCUUACAUGGAGUUUUAUUGGUGUGCUACGAUAUAUGUUAUAUAUCUCUGAUCAUAAACAGAGUUUAGAUAAAUACAGCUGAGACAACCGAUAAUGGCCAGGAGUAUAAAAACCCACAGUUGUUCAUUGUAAUUUAAAGGAGGAAGUGUUGUCUUUUUUCUAAUGCUAACAACUUUCCCGGGCAGAACAACCAGCCUUUCUAAGAGUAUAAAUGUGACUUUCACUGUAUAAAUCUGUGUCUCCCCUACUUUGUGUAUUAAACUGUGUGUAAAAGACCACUCAUUUCUAUACUGCACAGAUAUGCCUAACCUCUUUGAAGCUGAUUGAAGGAAGGAUUUCACUAGUUAUUUUUCAGGCAGUUUUUGGCUAGUAGGUGCACAAAACAUUCAGAGUACACAAGACCCUUCCUCCUCUCCCUUGCUUGAGAGCAAGAUGGGCUUGAUGUUGUAGAAAAACAGGUUUUCACCCUGUAAGCAAGCUGUGGUGCUGUUCCCAUGAGCAUGGUUUCAAGAAGCAAUUAUCUUUCUGAUGGCUUUUUUUCGGAGACUCCAUCCAAAAGGACUUCAAUUUUUGUUUGUAAAGAAAUAUUCCUCUUCUUUUUUGUAACAGAAGGAAUCACAUAAGGUAGCUAAUGCUGGACUAGAUGUAGGUGAUGCUGCUUCCCAGGGAGCUCAGAGUAAAGCUAUUCAUAAGGCUGAUGGCAAGUCAGAAGCUCUCCUUAAGGCAGCAGAAUGAGAUUUUUCCAUUGCAUUAUCAGUGCUUGAUGGGAAAUUUGUCUAAUGAGGUAAGAAUCUGGACAUCUGGAAGAGAUGGAAACAGUAAACUGAAUUAGAAAACUUUGGGUAUCACAUGAGGUAACACCUAUGGGAGCAGCAGGGAAGCUCCUGGGAAAGGUUUAUUUCAAAGGAACGUGGAGAAACAGAGGCCUUGCUUGUGGAUGGCAAUCCCUCACCAUCACCACCAAUGGCUUCUGUAAAAAGGACUCCGUGAAAAAAGGCUGUCAUGUUUAAACAUUUUGCUGGCAGAUCACACGGAGUUUUCUGUGUUCCUGCUUUCAGCAGCUGAGGAGGACAAGUACAAUAGACCCAUCCUUCACCUCUCAAGCAUUUUACCUGAUAGCAUUUUUCUCUGUUUUCCUCAGUGACAGCGGUCUUGGAGGAAUCUGCCCCAGAGAAGAGGUCUGGGUGGGAGAAGAGGGGUUAACUAUGGGGGAGGGUAUAGGAUAUUCUCUGAAGCCAAGGUUGUGAUCCUUCGCCCUGUCACAUCUCCUGCCUUCUCCCCCAUAGCUCUGCUGUAUGUUUUUAUGCUUCCAUUACCCUGUAAGCUCACAAACCAGCCUUUCACUGGGGAAUGUGAACAGAUGGACUCCUCCAGUGUCUCCUCUGGCUUCUGCAAAGCCCCUGUAUUCAAUGCUGUAGUGUCAUAUGAAGUAGGAUCAAAUUAAUUUUUUUAAGAAUUCUGCAACAGGGAGGAUGGGGCCAUUUAAAUAUCACGUGUUGGCUCCCUGCCUCAUGGACCUAAGGACUGAUUACAGUGGGACUGGUUUUGGUUUAAACAGAUUAUCUUACAAAGUUGUUGGGUUUUUUUAGUAUAUAUUUGAUAAGGGGAAAAAAUUAAACUUUGAGUAAUUAGAUUGAAUAAAUUCAAAGCAUGAUUAAUUCAAAGCACAAAUCUGAAGUUGAAACAUCCCUCCCCAUCCCAACAAAAGAGAAUAUCUGGAAUUUUAGACUGGAAGGUCACUGGUGGGUGACAAAGGAGACUUUUGUUCUGCCCUUGGCCACACUUCUUGCUUGCAGGCUGCCCCUCCUCAGGCCAGCCUCUGUCACCCUGCCUAAAAAGGGAGUGUAAUGAUAUCGACCUAUUUGGCAAAGCGUUUUGGGGUCUCUCUGUGAAAGAGACGGGGGUGAGCUGCCUUUGCAAACUUUGAGUGUUUCACGUUGGUAUGCUCCUUCAGCUUGGAAAACGAAACGUGCUAAAUUUGGGCAGGUUUUAGUGUUUGUGAUUCAUUCCCAGGGAAUUCCAGACUUCUUUAAGCUCUUCCCUUAUUUGUAGGAAUUUGCUGACUGGUUUACUAAACAGGCUGUUCUGAGGCUGUUUGCUGCACUUGACACCAUUUAUCCAUCCGUAGGACUGAGUCACGCACCAUGAAGCCUUACACAAUUAAGAUAUGGUGAACAGCAGCAAAACCCAGCCCCGAGCACAACCCACAGCUUGGAGUGGUGGGGCGACAGCUCCACCUCCCCACGCCUGGGCUCUGUCGGGUGUGUGAGUCAGGGCUGGCUGAGCAGGCAGCAGUGGGACUUCUGGCUUGAUAACAGGGCAGGACAAAGAGGAGCUGUUAUCUGCUGUGCACGCACAAGUACUCUCAGUGCAGACAGGCUAUCUGGCACGUAAACUCAUAAGCUAAGCACUACAUGCAAAAGGUAACUGUAAUAAAAACAUACUGAGAGCAUUUUGUUUAUGGUUUCUUCCUCGACAAAAUAAACCGCAAACUUGCGGCAGCUCUUUUCCUUAGUAACUUUCCUUUCUCCUAUAGUUCCUAUUUUAAUAAUAUCUCUAAUCCAUAAUCUGAAAAAACCACCGAAUUUUCAGAAUACGCCUCAUUAUUUUGAAGCCUCCUCAGGGAACAGAAAUGCAGUUUCAACCUGCUCAUGCUUUCUCAUAAAUUGAUUUCAAACCUUGCACGUGAACACACUGUGAUUUCAACUGGUACCCAGAGUGACAUCUUCCAUGAAACCCCACAGCUGUCCCUUAAUGGGAGAUUAGUGCUUUAACAAGAUGGUUUUUUAUUACUGUUGUUGUUUGCUCACUAAUGAAACAGGCUUGUGCUGUGUGCUAUCAAUUACAUCCCAAAUCAUGUAAUGUAAUGACUCAGGACUUUUUUUUUUUAAAAGAAAAUGUAGCUGCGAGUUUUAUUCAGUCUGGUUAUUUCAUGGCUUCAGAAUUUGUUGUCCAUGUUCCUCAUUACCGCAGCUGUAGAUAAAAACUUGAAAAUCUGAAUCUCUUAAGGCUCAGGAAUGUGACAGAAAAUAGCCCCCAAAAGGUCACACGCAGUUUGGUUCUGUGGGAGAGGAGAAGGUGAGGAGGAGGAGAUACAAAACUGGCACAGGAUAUUUGCAGCUAACACUGCUGUCUCAGUGGGGCUGCUGGCACCAUGUGGCUCUUGGGGCUCUUUGGAAAGUUUUCUGCUGUUUAGCCUCAGAAUCUGGAUUCUUCCAGCCUUGUUUAGUCUUUCUGGGCUCUUUUAAAGGUCAGCUGAGAGAAAACAUGAAUUAGCUCUUCCAGAGGGAGCUGCUGCUCCUCUCUCCCUGUUUAGUAAUGUAGAAGAAGUGUCUAAAGCAUGGUGUUGUGAGAGAAAUUAGCUGCUUCUGCUUUCUCCCCUUCCCCUGUAGUGAAUUUGGUUCCCUGAAUGAAUGAGACAGAUUUAGUACCAAUUUUAUUCCCAAUAGGCAACCUAAAAAUACCUCCAACUCCACACACAUCCCUUGUAGUCCACAGCUUUUUCUGGAGCUGAGGCAAAACAGAGCUGAUGUCAUGGGCUAUUUUUAUACAGCGAUGUCUAAAAUAUUUAUUUUUGUAAUGGCAAAAGAGUGCACUGUACUCUUUGGUAAAUAAUUUCAAUGUUAUUGUUUCCAUUUACGUAAAUUGACAAAUAGCUGAAAUUAGAUGGAGCAAGUUUGGGGUUUUUUUGCAAAUUAUUUUCAAGUUCUUGAGCACCUAUUCCACUCCUGUCUUCUUUCCCUGAGUCUCUUCCAACAGCAAACACCAAAGUAACACCUGCCAGGGGUGGGUCAAGCUCUCAAGACAGUGGCCUUUGGUCUCCAAAUAAGAGCAGUAUUAUUAAACCAUCUGCCUCUGGAGUACAAAUAAUUUUUCCAAACCUGCACCAUUCUUGCACAUCUGUGGAAAAGAAGUCACUGACAACAGCUGCUGAAACCCUUGGUAGUGACCAAGACGAGUGUGCUGUACUUGCUUCAGACAUCACUGGGGAGUCUGCCUACGUUCCCCAGCUGCUGUGAG